RNAcentral lists this transfer RNA (67 nucleotides) under Paroster niger. RNAcentral's name for it is "tRNA-Leu". RNAcentral also lists the same sequence under 2 other names. The record is from RNAcentral. Lineage: Eukaryota; Metazoa; Arthropoda; Insecta; Coleoptera; Dytiscidae.
UUAUUACUUUGGCAGAUUAGUGCAAUGAAUUUAGAAUUCAAAUAUAUAAUUUUUAUUAUAAGUAAUA